This 547-nucleotide ribosomal RNA is filed under the name Hemiberlesia musae. RNAcentral describes it as "partial 28S ribosomal RNA". Lineage: Eukaryota; Metazoa; Arthropoda; Insecta; Hemiptera; Diaspididae. The record is from RNAcentral.
AUCUGGGCGGCGGAAUUCAGGAUGGCUGGCGUGCUCUCGCGGUGCGUCGGUCGUUUGAUAUUUCCGUCGCCGAUUUACCGCAGACGUCGCGACCUGUUCGCGGCCGGUCCCUGCUCGGAGGAGCCGCGUUCGAGCUCGUUGUGUGCGCGUUUCGGCGUGUCACACGGCGAAGGCGCGGGUCUCUGGCUGGCCGUCGGACAGUACGCUUAACGGUGUCCGGUGUCGUCGUCACGUACGCGCGGCACCGGUACCGGUCAGCGACGAAUUCUUCGGGCCUCUUUCCGACCCGUCUUGAAACACGGACCAAGGAGUCUAACAUGCGCGCGAGUCGCGGGGUAUCGAGCGUACUUCGGUGCGCUCGUUAUGUUGCGAAACCCGUACAUGUCGAAGGCGUAAUGAAAGUGAAUGGGGAAGAUGGUGUUCCGAGUUCACGUUCCGCGAUCGUCGGUAUCGCGGCCGGACGCCCGCAUUCCCGGGGCGUCUCAACGGCCCGUCGCUGAUGCGGACCGUCGUCUCUCGGGGCGGCUGUCGGUCGGCGACGAACCGA